CCUACGGGUGGCAGCAGUGAGGAAUAUUGGUCAAUGGACGAGAGUCUGAACCAGCCAAGUAGCGUGAAGGAUGAAUGCCCCAUGGGUUGUAAACUUCUUUUAUAUGGGAAUAAAAUGCUCCACGUGUGGGAUUUUGUAUGUACCAUAUGAAAAAGCAUCGGCUAACUCCGUGCCAGCAGCCGCGGUAAUACGGAGGAUGCGAGCGUUAUCCGGAUUUAUUGGGUUUAAAGGGAGCGUAGGGGGAUCGUGAAGUCAGGUGUGAAAGUUUGCGGCUCAACCGUGAAAUUGCAGUUGAAACUGGCGGACUAGAGUACGGUAGAGGUAGGCGGAAUGCGUGGUGUAGCGGUGAGAUGCUUAGAUAUCGCGAAGAACUCCGAUUGCGAAGGCAGCUCACUGGACUGCAACUGACACUGAGGCUCGAAAGUGUGGGUAUCGAACAGGAUUAGAUACCCCUGUAGUC
RNAcentral lists this ribosomal RNA (460 nucleotides) under uncultured bacterium. Its description in RNAcentral is "partial 16S ribosomal RNA". It matches the Rfam family "Bacterial small subunit ribosomal RNA", at positions 338 to 795 of the family's 1533-position model. The record is from RNAcentral.